GAUUCUGGCUCAGGAUGAACGCUAGCUACAGGCUUAACACAUGCAAGUCGAGGGGCAGCAGGGAAGUAGCUGCUAUUCCGCUGGCGACCGGCGCACGGGUGAGUAACGCGUAUCCAACCUGCCCCGUACUCGGGGACAGCCCUCUGAAAGGAGGAUUAAUACCCGAUAUUGUCGCUGUGGGACAUCCCAUGGUGAUGAAAGAUUCAUCGGUACGGCGAUGGGGAUGCGUAUGAUUAGGACGUAGGCGGGGUAACGGCCCACCUAUCCGACGAUCAUUAGGGGUUCUGAGAGGAAGGUCCCCCACAUAGGAACUGAGACACGGUCCUAACUCCUACGGGAGGCAGCAGUGAGGAAUAUUGGUCAAUGGGCGAGAGCCUGAACCAGCCAAGUAGCGUGAAAGGAUGACUGCCCUAUGGGUUGUAAACUUCUUUUAUAGGGGAAUAAAGUGCUCCACGUGUGGAGUUUUGUAUGUACCCUAUGAAUAAGCAUCGGCUAAUUCCGUGCCAGCCGCCGC
RNAcentral lists this ribosomal RNA (514 nucleotides) under uncultured bacterium. Its description in RNAcentral is "bacterial SSU rRNA". It matches the Rfam family "Bacterial small subunit ribosomal RNA", at positions 15 to 518 of the family's 1533-position model. The record is from RNAcentral.